UACAGAGGGUGCGAGCGUUGUUCGGAAUUACUGGGCGUAAAGAGCGCGUAGGCGGCACGAUACGACCACGGUGAAAGCCCCCGGCUCAACUGGGGAGGGUCCGUGGUAACGGUCGAGCUGUGAGUGCAGGAGAGGGAAGUGGAACUCCGGGAGUAGCGGUGAAAUGCGUAGAGACCCGGAGGAACACCAGUGGCGAAGGCGGCUUCCUGGCCCGUUACCGACGCUCAGGCGCGACAGCGUGGGGAGCAAACAGG
This 254-nucleotide ribosomal RNA is filed under the name uncultured bacterium. Its description in RNAcentral is "partial 16S ribosomal RNA". It matches the Rfam family "Bacterial small subunit ribosomal RNA", at positions 524 to 776 of the family's 1533-position model. The record is from RNAcentral.